Molecule: ribosomal RNA, 244 nt
Filed under: Enterobacter asburiae
Lineage: Bacteria; Pseudomonadati; Pseudomonadota; Gammaproteobacteria; Enterobacterales; Enterobacteriaceae
Description: partial 23S ribosomal RNA
Rfam family: Bacterial large subunit ribosomal RNA
Source: RNAcentral
UGGACGCAUCACUGGUGCAUCACUGGUGUUCGGGUUGUCAUGCCAAUGGCACUGCCCGGUAGCUAAAUGCGGAAAAGAUAAGUGCUGAAAGCAUCUAAGCACGAAACUUGCCCCGAGAUGAGUUCUCCCUGACCCUUUAAGGGUCCUGAAGGAACGUUGAAGACGACGACGUUGAUAGGUCGGGUGUGUAAGCGCAGCGAUGCGUUGAGCUAACCGAUACUAAUGAACCGUGAGGCUUAACCUU